GACGUAGGGGGCGAGCGUUGUCCGGAUUUAUUGGGCGUAAAGCGCGCGUAGGCGGCUGCGCAAGUCGGUUGUGAAACCCCGGGGCUCAACCCCGGAACUGCAUCCGAUACUGCGUGGCUAGAGGUAGGUAGGGGAGAUCGGAAUUCCUGGUGUAGCGGUGAAAUGCGCAGAUAUCAGGAGGAACACCUGUGGCGAAAGCGGCGCACUGGACCACAUCUGACGCUGAGGCGCGAAAGCUAGGGGAGCAAACAGG
This 253-nucleotide ribosomal RNA is filed under the name uncultured bacterium. Its description in RNAcentral is "partial 16S ribosomal RNA". It matches the Rfam family "Bacterial small subunit ribosomal RNA", at positions 524 to 776 of the family's 1533-position model. The record is from RNAcentral.